GUAUAUGGCCUCACCACUGUGAACACACCUGAUCUUCUCUGAUCUCUGAAGCUAACAGUUAGUUAGCACCUGGUUAGUACUUGGAUGGGAAAUCACGUGGGAAUACCGGCUGCUGUAGCCU
Molecule: ribosomal RNA, 121 nt
Filed under: Cariama cristata (Red-legged seriema)
Lineage: Eukaryota; Metazoa; Chordata; Aves; Cariamiformes; Cariamidae
Source: RNAcentral